UACGAGGGGGGCGAGCGUUGUCCGGAAUCACUGGGCGUAAAGGGCGCGUAGGCGGCGCGGGUAGUCAACGGUGAAAGCUUGGGGCUCAACCCCGAGUCGGCCGUCGAUACUCCCGUGCUUGAGCACUGUAGAGGCAGGUGGAAUUCCGGGUGUAGCGGUGGAAUGCGUAGAGAUCCGGAAGAACACCGGUGGCGAAGGCGGCCUGCUGGGCAGUAGCUGACGCUGAGGCGCGACAGCGUGGGGAGCAAACAGG
RNAcentral lists this ribosomal RNA (253 nucleotides) under uncultured bacterium. RNAcentral's name for it is "partial 16S ribosomal RNA". It matches the Rfam family "Bacterial small subunit ribosomal RNA", at positions 524 to 776 of the family's 1533-position model. The record is from RNAcentral.